Molecule: ribosomal RNA, 392 nt
Filed under: uncultured bacterium
Lineage: Bacteria
Description: partial 16S ribosomal RNA
Rfam family: Bacterial small subunit ribosomal RNA
Source: RNAcentral
AUACGGAGGAUCCGAGCGUUAUCCGGAUUUAUUGGGUUUAAAGGGUGCGCAGGCGGCCAUUUAAGUCAGCGGUUAAAUCGUGGGGCUCAACCCCAUUCUGCCGUUGAUACUGGGUGGCUUGAUUGCGGUCGAGGUUGGCGGAAUUCGUUGUGUAGCGGUGAAAUGCAUAGAUAUCACGAAGAACUCCGAUCGCGAAGGCAGCUCACCGGGCCGGAACUGACACUGAUGCUCGAAAGUGCGGGUAUCAAACAGGAUUAGAUACCCUGGUAGUCCGCACAGUAAACGAUGAAUACUCGCUGUUUGCGAUACGCUGUAAGCGGCCAAGCGAAAGCGUUAAGUAUUCCACCUGGGGAGUACGCCGGCAACGGUGAAACUCAAAUGAAUUGGCGGGG